GAUGAGAACGUAGCAAAAUGCGAUAAGUAAUGUGAAUUGCAGAAUUCAGUGAAUCAUCGAAUCUUUGAACGCACAUUGCGCCCGCCAGUAUUCUGGCGGGCAUGCCUGUUCGAGCGUCAUUUCAACCCUCAAGCACAGCUUGGUGUUGGGACUCGCGUUAAUUCGCGUUCCCCAAAUUGAUUGGCGGUCACGUCGAGCUUCCAUAGCGUAGUAGUAAAACCCUCGUUACUGGUAAUCGUCGCGGCCACGCCGUUAAACCCCAACUUCUGAAUGUUGACCUCGGAUCAGGUAGGAAUACCCGCUGAACUUAAGCAUAUCAAUAAGCGGAGGA
Molecule: unclassified non-coding RNA, 331 nt
Filed under: soil metagenome
Description: partial contains 5.8S ribosomal RNA, internal transcribed spacer 2, and large subunit ribosomal RNA
Rfam family: 5.8S ribosomal RNA (bases 5-119)
Source: RNAcentral